This 958-nucleotide ribosomal RNA is filed under the name uncultured cyanobacterium. RNAcentral's name for it is "bacterial SSU rRNA". It matches the Rfam family "Bacterial small subunit ribosomal RNA", at positions 434 to 1408 of the family's 1533-position model. The record is from RNAcentral. Lineage: Bacteria; Bacillati; Cyanobacteriota.
UUUUCUCAAGGAAGAAGACCUGACGGUACUUGAGGAAUAAGCCACGGCUAAUUCCGUGCCAGCAGCCGCGGUAAUACGGGAGUGGCAAGCGUUAUCCGGAAUUAUUGGGCGUAAAGCGUCCGCAGGCGGCCCUGUAAGUCUGUCGUUAAAGCGUGGAGCUUAACUCCAUUUAAGCGAUGGAAACUACAGGGCUUGAGUGUGGUAGGGGCAGAGGGAAUUCCCGGUGUAGCGGUGAAAUGCGUAGAUAUCGGGAAGAACACCAGUGGCGAAGGCGCUCUGCUGGGCCAUAACUGACGCUCAUGGACGAAAGCCAGGGGAGCGAAAGGGAUUAGAUACCCCUGUAGUCCUGGCCGUAAACGAUGAACACUAGGUGUCGGGGGAAUCGACCCCCUCGGUGUCGUAGCCAACGCGUUAAGUGUUCCGCCUGGGGAGUACGCACGCAAGUGUGAAACUCAAAGGAAUUGACGGGGGCCCGCACAAGCGGUGGAGUAUGUGGUUUAAUUCGAUGCAACGCGAAGAACCUUACCAGGGUUUGACAUCCUGCGAACCCCCUGGAAACGGGGGGGUGCCUUAGGGAACGCAGUGACAGGUGGUGCAUGGCUGUCGUCAGCUCGUGUCGUGAGAUGUUGGGUUAAGUCCCGCAACGAGCGCAACCCACGUCGUUAGUUGCCAGCAUUCAGUUGGGCACUCUAGCGAGACCGCCGGUGAUAAACCGGAGGAAGGUGUGGAUGACGUCAAGUCAUCAUGCCCCUUACAUCCUGGGCUACACACGUACUACAAUGCUACGGACAAAGGGCCGCAAGCUCGCGAGAGUUAGCAAAUCCCAUAAACCGUGGCUCAGUUCAGAUCGUAGGCUGCAACUCGCCUACGUGAAGGAGGAAUCGCUAGUAAUCGCAGGUCAGCAUACUGCGGUGAAUACGUUCCCGGGCCUUGUACACACCGCCCGUCACACCAUGGA